UCCAGCUGGGUGUAUUCUGUCAUAUACACAAGUUGCCUUUGGCUCUGUUGUUCCAUCAGUUGUGUCUGAAUCAAAGACUCCCUUCUUUUUAUUCCUUCUAUUAACAGCCUUAAAACUCACCUUCCCCAAGAAGAAGCCUUCUUUGAUUAAUUCAGUUCAUUUUUGUAUGAGGAUUUUCCAGAUAUGUUAAUUUUCACUUACCAUUGUUUUUCCCCCAUGAGUUCCUGUAGGAUUACAGCCAUACACCAAGUAAUGGUGUCUGUCAAUAAUGGACCACAUAUAUGAUGGUGGUCUCAUAAGAUUAUGAUGCUGUAUUUUACUAUACCUUUUCUAUGUUUAGAUAUGUUUAGAUACACAAAUAACCUACCAUCAUGUUACAAUUGUCUGCAAUAUUCAGUACAGCAUCAUGCUGUACAGGUUUGUAGCCUAGGAGCAAUAGGCAGCUAUAGCCAGGAGACCAGGGUCACAUGGCUGCCUGUGGACCAAGGUCAGGGUGGAAAACAUCAUCAAUGGUGUCCCAAGUUAAA
RNAcentral lists this long non-coding RNA (527 nucleotides) under Homo sapiens (human). Its description in RNAcentral is "non-protein coding lnc-IL19-1:1". Lineage: Eukaryota; Metazoa; Chordata; Mammalia; Primates; Hominidae. The record is from RNAcentral.